This 520-nucleotide ribosomal RNA is filed under the name uncultured Glomus. Its description in RNAcentral is "SSU rRNA". It matches the Rfam family "Eukaryotic small subunit ribosomal RNA", at positions 569 to 1092 of the family's 1831-position model. Lineage: Eukaryota; Fungi; Glomeromycota; Glomeromycetes; Glomerales; Glomeraceae. The record is from RNAcentral.
AGCAGCCGCGGUAAUUCCAGCUCCAAUAGCGUAUAUUAAAGUUGUUGCAGUUAAAAAGCUCGUAGUUGAAUUUCGGGAUCAAUUUGCUGGUCGUGCCUUCGGUACGCACUGGUAUUAUUGGUUUCUCCUUUCUGAUGAAUCGCGAUGUCAUUAAUUUGGUGUCGUGGGGAAUCAGGACCGUUACUUUGAAAAAAUUAGAGUGUUUAAAGCAGGCUCACGCUUGAAUACAUUAGCAUGGAAUAAUGAAAUAGGACGUUUGAUUCUAUUUUGUUGGUUUCUAGGAUCGACGUAAUGAUUAAUAGGGAUAGUUGGGGGCAUUAGUAUUCAAUUGUCAGAGGUGAAAUUCUUGGAUUUAUUGAAGACUAACUACUGCGAAAGCAUUUGCCAAGGAUGUUUUCAUUAACCAAGAACGAAAGUUAGGGGAUCGAAGACGAUCAGAUACCGUCGUAGUCUUAACCAUAAACUAUGCCGACUAGGGAUCGGAUGAUGUAAUUUUUAAUGACUCAUUCGGCGCCUUAAC